UCACUGGCUCCUCUGCAGGAAACUAUCUUCAUCCACUGUAGUACUGCGGUGUGCCAUCCAUCUUCUGGCUCCUGUGAGCAAAGCUGCGGCAGGAAGAGAAGGGACACUAAUGUCAAGACCAUCUCUAGUGAGCAGACUGUGGUUUCUAGUGGAGGAGUUACUCUGAUCAUGUAAAUCUAGUGGUUUUAAUAAGCUUUUUUACUUGGCAAGGUCUGUUAUUGUAUUGACCUUGCAGAGUCUCAUGUUACAUUAUGUACGCAGUUUGUUUCUUGGUGUACACUAUUAAACUAACUUUCCAGUA
Sinocyclocheilus grahami is the source of this 301-nucleotide long non-coding RNA. RefSeq lists it as uncharacterized. The record is from RefSeq and is a predicted model, not a curated record. The transcript is spliced from 3 exons. NCBI's taxonomy places the organism in Eukaryota, Metazoa, Chordata, Actinopteri, Cypriniformes, Cyprinidae.